This 459-nucleotide ribosomal RNA is filed under the name uncultured bacterium. Its description in RNAcentral is "partial 16S ribosomal RNA". It matches the Rfam family "Bacterial small subunit ribosomal RNA", at positions 338 to 795 of the family's 1533-position model. The record is from RNAcentral.
CCUACGGGAGGCAGCAGUGAGGAAUAUUGGUCAAUGGCCGGAAGGCUGAACCAGCCAUGCCGCGUGAAGGUCAGUGCCCUAUGGGCGUUAAACUUCUUUUGUGCGGGAGCAAUAAUGGUCACGUGUGGCCAGACGAGAGUACCGUACGCAUAAGCAUCGGCUAACUCCGUGCCAGCAGCCGCGGUAAUACGUGGGUGCAAGGUGUAUCCGGAUUUAUUGGGUUUAAAGGGUGCGUAGGCUGGGAGGUAAGUCAGCGGUGAAAUGCCCCCGCGCAACGGGGUGAAGUGCAAUUGAUACUGCCUGGCUGGAAUGCGGAUGCCGUGGGAGGAAUGUGUGGUGUAGCGGUGAAAUGCAUAGAUAUCACACAGAACACCGAUUGCGAAGGCAUCUCACGAAUCCGCGAUUGACGCUGAUGCACGAAAGCGUGGGUAUCAAACAGGAUUAGAUACCCGAGUAGUC